GCGCCUGUAGCUCAAUUGGAUAGAGCAUCGGUUUACGGAGCCGAAGGUUGGAGGUUCGAGUCCUCCCGGGCGUG
RNAcentral lists this transfer RNA (74 nucleotides) under Planctomycetota bacterium. RNAcentral describes it as "Planctomycetes bacterium tRNA-Arg". It matches the Rfam family "tRNA". From Rfam's summary of the family: Transfer RNA (tRNA) molecules are approximately 80 nucleotides in length. The record is from RNAcentral. Lineage: Bacteria; Pseudomonadati; Planctomycetota.